Fusarium irregulare is the source of this 92-nucleotide non-coding RNA. NCBI's taxonomy places the organism in Eukaryota, Fungi, Ascomycota, Sordariomycetes, Hypocreales, Nectriaceae. The record is from the annotation of a GenBank genome assembly.
GCCCUCUUGGCCAAGUGGUAAGGCGUCGCACUCGUAUGGCGUAAGCCAGAAAUGACAUGCGAAGAUCACUGGUUCGAUUCCAGUACGGGGCA